RNAcentral lists this ribosomal RNA (376 nucleotides) under uncultured bacterium. RNAcentral's name for it is "bacterial SSU rRNA". It matches the Rfam family "Bacterial small subunit ribosomal RNA", at positions 524 to 898 of the family's 1533-position model. The record is from RNAcentral.
UACGUAGGGGGCAAGCGUUGUCCGGAAUUACUGGGCGUAAAGGGAGCGUAGGCGGUCUGUUAAGUGGGAUGUGAAAAACCCGGGCUUAACCCGGGAGGUGCAUUCUAAACUGGCAGACUUGAGUGUGGGAGAGGAAAGUGAAAUUCCUAGUGUAGCGGUGAAAUGCGUAGAUAUUAGGAGGAACACCAGUGGCGAAGGCGGCUUUCUGGACCAUAACUGACGCUGAGGCUCGAAAGCGUGGGGAGCAAACAGGAUUAGAUACCCUGGUAGUCCACGCUGUAAACGAUGAAUACUAGGUGUAGGGGGUAUCAACUCCCUCUGUGCCGCAGCAAACGCAAUAAGUAUUCCGCCUGGGGAGUACGAUCGCAAGAUUGAA